CAAUAGCGUAUAUUAAAGUUGUUGCAGUUAAAAAGCUCGUAGUUGGAUUUCUGGUGGGAGCGAUCGGUCUGGCGCUUAGCGCGAGUACUUGCAUCGUCUCCGGCCAUCCUUGGGGAGAGUCUGUCUGGCAUUAGGUUGUCGGGCAGAGGAUCUUCAUCGUUUACUGUGAAAAAAUUAGAGUGUUCAAAGCAGGCUUAUGCCGUUGAAUAUAUUAGCAUGGAACAAUAAGAUAGGACUUUGGUACUAUUUUGUUGGUUUGCGCACCAAAGUAAUGAUUAAUAGGGACAGUUGGGGGUAUUCGUAUUCCGUUGUCAGAGGUGAAAUUCUUGGAUUUACGGAAGACGAACUACUGCGAAAGCAUUUACCAAGGAUGUUUUCAUUAA
This 383-nucleotide ribosomal RNA is filed under the name uncultured eukaryote. Its description in RNAcentral is "partial 18S ribosomal RNA". It matches the Rfam family "Eukaryotic small subunit ribosomal RNA", at positions 592 to 976 of the family's 1831-position model. The record is from RNAcentral.